GAUGAACGCUGGCGGCGUGCCUAAUACAUGCAAGUCGAGCGAACAGACGAGGAGCUUGCUCCUCUGACGUUAGCGGCGGACGGGUGAGUAACACGUGGAUAACCUACCUAUAAGACUGGGAUAACUUCGGGAAACCGGAGCUAAUACCGGAUAAUAUCUUGAACCGCAUGGUUCAAUAGUGAAAUACGGUUUUGCUGUCACUUAUAGAUGGUUCCGCGCCGCAUUAGCUAGUUGGUAAGGUAACGGCUUACCAAGGCAACGAUGCGUAGCCGACCUGAGAGGGUGAUCCGCCACACUGGAACUGAGACACGGUCCAGAAUCCUACGGGAGGCAGCAGUAGGGAAGCUUCCGCAAUGGGCGAAAGCCUGACGGAGCAACGACGCGUGAGUGAUGAAGGUCUUCGGAUCGUAAAACUCUGUUAUUAGGGAAGAACAAAUGUGUAAGUAACUAUGCACGUCUUGACGGUACCUAAUCAGAAAGCCACGGCUAACUACGUG
Molecule: ribosomal RNA, 497 nt
Filed under: uncultured bacterium
Lineage: Bacteria
Description: partial 16S ribosomal RNA
Rfam family: Bacterial small subunit ribosomal RNA
Source: RNAcentral